CUGACGCUGAGGCACGAAAGCGUGGGUAUCGAACAGGAUUAGAUACCCUGGUAGUCCACGCAGUAAACGAUGAUAACUAGUUUUCCGGUGCGAGUGAGUGCUGGGAGACCGAGCGAAAGUGUUAAGUUAUCCACCUGGGGAGUACGCCGGCAACGGUGAAACUCAAAGGAAUUGACGGGGGCCCGCACAAGCGGAGGAACAUGUGGUUUAAUUCGAUGAUACGCGAGGAACCUUACCCGGGCUCAAACGGCUAUGGACGCACUGUGAAAGCGGUGUUCCCUUCGGGGCUGUAGUCGAGGUGCUGCAUGGUUGUCGUCAGCUCGUGCCGUGAGGUGUCGGCUUAAGUGCCAUAACGAGCGCAACCCCCAUCUCCAGUUGCCAUCAAGUAAGCUGGGCACUCUGGAGAGGCUGCCGGCGCAAGCUGCGAGGAAGGCGGGGAUGACGUCAAAUCAGCACGGCCCUUACGUCCGGGGCGACACACGUGUUACAAUGGCGGGGCACAGCGGGGCGCCACAUGGCGACAUGGAGCCGAUCCCGAAAACCCGUCUCAGUUCGGAUCGGAGUCUGCAACUCGACUCCGUGAAGCUGGAUUCGCUAGUA
Molecule: ribosomal RNA, 600 nt
Filed under: uncultured bacterium
Lineage: Bacteria
Description: bacterial SSU rRNA
Rfam family: Bacterial small subunit ribosomal RNA
Source: RNAcentral